Molecule: long non-coding RNA, 206 nt
Filed under: Elaeis guineensis (African oil palm)
Lineage: Eukaryota; Viridiplantae; Streptophyta; Magnoliopsida; Arecales; Arecaceae
Description: long non-coding RNA (EGUI_LNC003713)
Source: RNAcentral
UGUCCAGAAGUAAAACCAUACAUUGAGUAUGUAUUUAUAAUAUAAAUUUAUAUCUUUUUACAUUGAAUUAUUUAUAACCAAUAAUGAUAGAAGAAGAUUAUAAUGUUUCUAAAUCUAUAUUAAUUUAUUCUUUUUAUUCUUUUAAACAUUUUUGUUGAUGAGUUACGACAUGUGCAUCCAUAAAUCACUGAGGCAGACGUUGAUAA